CCUGCACAGUCUUCUGCCUUCUCGAUUGGAGUUUAACAAUGAUCAAUGUCACGGUGCUUUACAAUGUGCAGUGAUGUGCUUACAGUAACAACGUGGUAGAGUUGUGAAAGCACUGUCCCUUAGCCACGCCAUAAACUUUACCUGGAACUAGUAAAUAGAAUCACAAAGCCCAGUAGGGCAGAAGGGAAAACAACUUGGUUCUAAGAAAGAGAGUAACUCCAUGUCGCCCCCGCUUGACUGCUGCGGGAACAACCACUAAACUAGGUCCUAGAAAUGCAGGGAAAAGGUGGGAUAACAAACUAGUCCACCAAUCCCCGUUCCCAGAAAUGUCUGCCUUGUUGCCCAAUUGGAUAAAAAAAAGGUGAGGGAAGAGCCAGUUGAUAGACAUUAAUUUCGACCAAUUAUUACAGGAAAACCGAGCAUGACGGGUGAAUUCAACUAUCAAUCAGAUUUCGGAGACGGAUAUGAAGGUGGAGCUUCGGGAUUCCCUCGGUCUCUGGGUAGGCGGAGCUGAGAAGGAGAGAAAGAUGGCGGAGUGAAGAACUGCCGCUCCCGCUGCGGCUGUGGCUGCGGCCGCGGCUGCGGGGAAUCCUCGGAGGCCGAGGUGGGCCAGCCUUGGUCAACGGCGCACUAGUCUUGACAACUCAGGUAAGCGCGGGAGGAAGACGGAUAAACGGUCACGGGUGCGUCCUCCGUAGGAUACGGAAUGGGUAGUGCCUGUUCUUCUCCCUGUCGGAGCCUCCCUGUUAUCUAGGGGGCGAGAGGACCGGAGAUCGGUCCCUUCAUCCUGGGGAAUGCCUCCUUCUCCAGUCCCCGUCUCGGCCGCCAUUGGCCUGUUCCUGGGGGUCCCGUAUUCCCUCCAUCUCUACAACUUUCAUUGGCUCUUUCCGGCAGCCCGCCCUCUAGGCUCGCCCAUUGGCUGACAGCGCGGCCUCCUCGAUCAGCCUCUCGUCCUUCUCAUUGGCUUGCCCUUGCUGCCUUUGUGUUAUCCCGGCUGUGCUUCCCUAAUUGGGCAAAACUUGGGCGUGUUACGCAUCCGCUUUUCCUGUUAGCCUUUGCGGCCUAGGCGCUGCAUCCUUCAUCUGGCUUGUUGAUUUUAAUUAAAUUUUUUUCCUUCUGUCAUUAGAAUUCUAACCCUUUGCUCCUUUCUCUCCCCCUUUUCUCCUUACUCAUUUUCUCAUUUGGGGGGAGUCGCUUUGAUCCUGACCCGCCCUCAUUCCAUUGACCUUGAGAUUUGUCUUCCCCGAGAGGUUUCCCGGAUGGGCUUUAUUCUGGUUCUGUGCAAGGUGGACACUACCCAGGUUUCCCUUGGGUUCUUUUUGGGGAGGGCCUUUGCAUGUCUUACUACUGAAGUCACUCCUGCCUCCGUUAACUUGAGCGUUCUGAAAUUCACAACUAGAUUAUUGCCUCAGGGUCAAGAGAAGCCAUAUAUAGAAUCGGUCUCUAAUGAGAGUGCUUUUGUCAAGAAACCUCCUUAUGGAGUCAUCUCCUGACACGUUGGAUCAACAACAAAGUAGAGGGAGAGGCCAAAAACAUUUUUAAGGGAUUUGGUUGUAUGUUCCUCAUACUAGGCAAAACAAUUUUCCUACAAUGUUUAUGGUUGUCCUCAUCUUGGAAGGAAAACAGAACCCAGAGCUCAGGAUUUAGCUGGUUCUUUAGAAGAAGAAAAAAGAUUUCAUUUGCAUCAUUAUAUCCUUCACUGUUUUCUCAGGUGAUCCUGCUUUUUUUUACUUAACUGCAGUCCUUGGUCUUGACAUUUGGAUCUAUCUCCUCUCUACUUGAACUCCAUGAACCAGAAUGGAAAAGAUAACUUCACAUCAUGUUCCACUUCUCAAAUCCAGCACAUUUAGCUUUGUUAGGUGGCUUUCCCCAGGGUGCCAUCUGUCAAUUACACCAGGAAAAAAGAAGUGAUUGAUGUUUGGUAUGCAGCAACUGUUUGCUUAGAUGAAAGAAGGGAUUUUUUUCCUCCCAUAUAGAAGCAUAAUAUUUAGAUUGGUGCCAGGUCCUUAGAUGGUGAUAUUUGUGAGUUCUUUGCCUAAGAACUCAAAAUGUCUGCAGGGGCCACUUGUAUCCUGUUUGAAUUAGUAUAGAAUUACAUGUAUACAUAAUUAGAACAAGAUAUCUUUUAUUUCAAUAUGGAAAGUUCAUUUUGGAAACUAAAAACAAUGUGUCUGAAUCCUAAUUAAUUCCAUCACAUAGAUUUCUUAAUCCAGAACAAAGGGCCAGCUUUGUAGAUACCCAUGUGACAUGGUAAGUAAAGCAGCUUAUGUAUAGUAUACUAGAUUUUUUUUUUUUUUUUUUUUUAACGUAUGUGAAGAAAAUAUCAUGUUCUUUGAACAAAUAUAUUUCUGGAAGAGUAUGUCCACAUUUAUCAGUGAGAAGAAAGAUUUCUUCCUAAGAAACAAAGCCUGGCUGCAUUGCCUGUUCCCUAGGUAACAUUUGACUUCAUACCAUUAAGAUGUUUUUUUCCAUUUUCACAAAAAAAGGAGCAGGUUGUUCACAAGCAUGCUCCAUGAAUGCAUUCCUGGAUCCGUUGGAGAAAACAGAUUUCAUUGACUUUUGAUUAAACAAAGAACAAAAAAUUUUGAUCUUACCAAGAAUUAAGGCUGUCUUAUGGAUACUUGAUUUGCUGUCACCUUUCUUCUUUGUGGAAUUUUAGUUUUCAUCCUGCUGUUGCCAAGAGUGAACUGGAACAAGGAGUCUGCCUCUGUAUACUUAUAAUACCAGAUCAAAUUUGUGGUUGGCUAUGAAUAUAGCAGAAUGGAAAAAGAGUGGGAGUAGGAAAGAAUUUUCCCAUGUAACUUCACCUUGAAAGACAAAAAGCUUAAAUACUUUUUGUAGCUCCAUUUGCAUGACAUAUCCUAUAUUAUCAUCCCUUUCAGUGUCAGUGGGAACAUAAUCCUUCAAAUCAGAUGACUCUAAGAGAAAUUUCCAUGAGUGAAAACUGAAGCAUCUUAUAGGAAGAUGGGCUGCAUAAUAAUGUUCAUCAACUUUGGCUUGAGGCAGAGGUCUUGGAGAAUUUUAGGGAUUCCAUUCCCAUUUGCACGUCUUCCCCCCCAACCCCACCCCCCCCCCAAAAAAAUCCACAAACAUAGUUUUAUAUCUAGAUCAAGCACUGCAUAUGGCAUAGCUUAUUUUCCUCUGGGGAAAAAAAAUGCUUCCCUUGGCAGCUGAAAUCCUUCCUUGCUCCUGAGAAGUACAAAGCAGAGUUUGGGAUGAGGCAUUACUAGUUCAAGAGAAGAUCACUCUUUUAUUUGUGAUGUUACAUGACUAGAGAAAUCAGUCAUGAAACUUUCCAGAUAGUAAGACUCUAUGUUACAUCUUUGAGUUUCUGGGAAUGUGCUCAUCCAGAACCUUGGUAUGAUGCUAAAAGUAAAGACUCUGGAUUCAGGAUUGGGUCUGCACAAGUGGAAGUUUGUUAAAGAUGAGGAUUGUCAAAAUGGAAUAUGAAUUAGUAGGUCUUAACCAAUGGGAAUUGAAAUCUAAAUCAAAAUGUCUUUUAGGAGGAAAAAAAGAUGUGAAUAAAGUAUGAUUUUAUAAGGGCAAUAGUUGAAAUUGGCUAGCAGUAAAAUACAGCAUUCUCAAAGUCCUAGUGUAGUUAAGCUUUAGUAGCUUAAAAUUACACUGAGACUUUUGGGAUACUCUGAAUAGGUGGUAGUCAUGCCUUUUGAAAGUUCUAUGUUUGCAUUAAUUAAAAAUCUUUCAAUUCAGUCAGGCAGACCUCCCAGUCAUUUGUUUAUAUUUUUAUUCAUUACUAUUCUGCAAAGGUAAAGGUCAGUGUUAUUGGAGAAACUCCUUACUAAAGGGGUAUUGGUGCCACCAAGAUGUUGAGAAAGACUGUAAAUCUUGGUUCUCUGCCCUUCCCUUUAAUGUCUUGUUAUUGGUAGCCUUUCUGGCAAGAUCUGCUGGCAGGCAGCAGGGCCAACCUAUUCUCUUUACGUCUUCUGUCAAACUUGCAACAGAUCUGCUCUGGCCCAUUGGUGCUUUUGGCAUCAGAUCUACUACUUUAGAUUCCUUAGAGUUUUCUGAAUCCAUAGCCAAUAACUUAACUGUUUAGUGUUUCCCUUAAAUAUAUGCCUGCCUUAUUUACAACUGUCAAAAAAUCUUGUUACAACUAAAAUUUGUUUCAUGAUCGGUUGUUUCAGCCUUAUAUUCCCUUAAGACACCUUUUGUGUUUUUUUUUUCUAUCUGUCUUUCUACAAUUUCCUUCCUGGCUGUGGUUUUAGGCAGUGCUGUCUAUGACCUCUUGCUAUACUCUCUAUUUUUCCAGUCCUUCUUGUUGAGUGGGAAUUUUCCUUUUUGAAAAGUUAAAACAAAUAAACAAGGGACAUGUGCAAUAAUUACAUAUAUAUGUGUGCAUAUAUAUAUGUAUGUAUAUAUAUAUAUAUAUUUUUUUUUUUUUUAAUACUUGUGGACAAAAUAAUGUUACAAGUUGUUUGAGAACAACAAAAUCACCAAUGUCUUCCAUUUUGAUAAUAUGUAUAGUUUCAAAAGCAUUAAUGCUUUGUAGGAAAAUGUAGUGCCAUGUUAGGGGCCAGUGCAUGAGCCUAGUAGUAAUUUUAAAAUUAAAAGUGAUGAAUUCUUUAUAUUAAUAAUCAAUAGUAUAACAAAAAAUGGAAAAUGUAAAAAUUUCCCUUUUUGUGUAAAAGUUCUGAACCUGUAUCUUCUCCCUGGGGGGAAAGUGACAGACUAAAAGGACUAGUUUAGAAAUAGAAUUAUUCUGGAUUGGAGGCCUUGAAUAUGUGUGGGGAUGUUUCAGCUUCACAUAAUAUUGCAUAUUCUAAACCUGAUGUAAUUGACUGUAUCCAAUCUAUACCACAAACUUAAACUCUGGAUGACACCUCCGUUUCCCCUCCAACAUUGUGAUCCUGGCUUAUGCUUCUUGUGUAGGUGAGAUUAUCCCCAUGUCCCUGUAUAUCUUCUAGCUUAAUCCUGUUUGAUUUCUGUAUGUAGACUUUCUCUGUAUCCAGGGACCACAGUACAAUUUAUAUAUCUUAAUUGGAUACUCUUAUCUGCCUUACAUGAGAUGCUCUGUCAACUCAAGGGUAGCAUGUAGACUGUUUCACAUUUCCUAUCUGCACGUCACUGUCUCUGGAUUGUGCAGAGAAAUCUUUGUAAAUAUUAGAAUCAAAGUAUUUGUUUUAGGUUGUCCUCACUUUUCAAAUACAUUUUAUUAUUUUUGAUGUGGUUUUCUUGCUACUUCUCUUGCUUGAUUUGCAUUUUGAAAAUUGGACGUGUAGUCAGAAAUUUAAUAAGUUACCUUGUAGUGAGAAGUAAAAGAGUAUUUCUUGUGUUUGCAGUAUGCAGUUUAAGGAUGUAACUUUCAAACUUGUACAUGUCCUCUUUUUCCUACCUUUCCAGAAGAAGUAGUUUUGCCACUCAUAGGCUAGUUCAUCUUUCUCUGAUAAAGCAAUUCCUGUCUGUAAAUGACUUCUUUGAGAAAUUGGAGGUGAUUUUCCUGAAAUUUCUUCAAAUAAUGAUUUGAAUCCAAAAACCUCAGAUAAUCCAGAUUUUAUAAAAUAUAGACUCUACAAAUAUGUGAUAAGUGUACAACACUGCAUGAGAAAACAACUUUGAGUAAGUAGGCCCCUUUGUAGCAGUUCUCUAGGGACAAGGUUCAGGUUCUCUUAGUCUAGACUCAAAUAGUUAUACCUUUGAUUCAAAUAGUAUAGUGCUUAGGAGAAUCAGUUUUUUAAAAAAUACCUCUGAAACUGGAAUGCAAAAUAGCACAGUAUGCAGGGGAAAUGCCCCUGAUGCAAACAAAGCCAUAAAAUAAUAAUUUUAAAAGGAUAAGAUUUUAGUAGCAAUAACUAUUUUGCAUGUACUAAUAACUAACUUGAAUUAGCAAACAUGUAAAGUAAGUUACCACCCAAGUUUGUGGUGUGUGGUGCUCAGUCCUUGACAGAGCUGCAUGAAAGAAAACAUGUUUUAGGUAGAUGACAUCUAUAAAAGAGAGGGAUAUGUGUGCGUGUGUGGGUGUGGGUGUGCAUGUGUAUGUACACACUAGAGAAAGAUUUCAUUAUGUGAGACUGAAAACCCUAUUUGUUUCCCCAAGUAAUUGAAGUGAGCUUUUUCUGGGAAACAAAUUGGAAUCUCACCAGUGCAUUCCAAGUAGCUUUUCUACUUGAGAUUUUACUUUGAGGAUAACUCCUCCAUGACAGAUUUUUUUUUCUUUCUUCUUUGGUUUCUUAAAUUCAUUCUCUUUUUUUUUUUUUUUUAGGAUUAAGAAAACAACUUAAAUUUGAUAUUUGCAUUUUCUAUAUUUGUGGUUAAGAAAGCUCUUAGUGUUACACUUGUGAGAAAGACUUUAUGUGUGUGAAUUUGUUUUUCUUUGUUUUUAACCAUAUUUUUAAUGGAGGAGUGGCCAGAGUCUCUGGCAGUUUGUCCUCUAAUGUGGAAAACUGUUCCACUUCCCAGCACACCAUCCCAAUUCAGGAGCCAAGAUAGAGUAGUGAGACCAAGUAAAUUUUUCUGUUGUCUCAUACCAUCUGUCUAUAUGGAUAAUUCAUCCUGGCCAUUUAGCGCCUAAAAAAUAAUUACAUUUCUAUAUAAGCUGGUUAUAAAUCCCUUGGUUCAUGAUGUUUAAUUAUAUGCCUGUAUGUGAACCUGGGGAGGGGAGGGGGAAGGCAAGAAAGUCAUGCCUCUUGAUCUGAUAUUCUUUCUUAUUUGCUGAUCCCCAAAGGUAAGACAACAACUAAAUGUAAAGUAACCAACAUGUCUCAACCCACCAGAGGAAUGCACCCCCUUGGCUUCCUCUUGUUCUUUAGUGUGCCCCAUGGUGUCACACAUUGGAACAGGCAAACAAUUUUCAGAUAUCUGGCUUGGUCACAGGUGUACAUUUAUGCUAGAUAAAGGACUUUAUAGAACAGCCACAUUAAUUGUGAAUCUAAAUGCUGUAAUUGACCAGAUACAUCCAGUGCAAGGAUGGUAUCCAGAUAAGCAUCUUACAUUCAAGGGUGUAAGCAUUACCUUUGCGUGGAGACAUCACACUGAUGGGUGAACUCUAAUUAAAUAUGAAGUGUGAUCAUAUGGUACUCCAGGCACUAUGCAAAAUGGGAUGAGGUCUUUGCCCUUGAGGAGUUUACAUUCUCUUGGUGCUGCUGGUAAAGGCAAAUAGCUUCCUUUGUUUAGAACUUGUUGGGCUGUUAAAAUAACCUUGGCCCAAAAGAUUGCUUGUUAAAAUAGUUUUUAGAAGCAGAGAGCUACACCAAAUUUUAAGGCAUUGGAAAUUUAACUAGUUUAUAUUGUACUAGCUAUGCUAUUAAUCUUUCCAGAAUGUAUGUGGAGCAGGAGGAUAAGGAAUACUAUAUAAGUAAUUUCUUUCAGCAUUAGUAAAAGAAACCACUUUACCGAAUAGGUUCUCCACAACAUACUACCUUUUCCUUUUGUGGUAUCAUACCCAUCACAAAGUUGGCCAGGAAAAUCCCUAACAAAUAUAAAAUUGCAUAUUUACUUUUCUUAAUAGUGGCUAUUAUUUCUGCUGCCAUAUCAUUUCCACCUUUAAGGGAUUGGAUUUGUAUCCCAGUCUCCCUUGUACCAGUGUGAAAUGAUCCUGAAUUUUACUUUUUUAUUUGUUGGUAGUUUUGUAAUUCCAUUCAGAAGCAUCAUAGGAAUAGACAUGUAGAGAACUUGAUUAAUACUGUCUUCCCAAAGGUUUCUCAGUUUUCUCCCUUUCAGUUACAGUAUUUCAAAGAAAAUUAAUUGCAUGUAUAUCAGCUAAAUCCUAUGAUGCCUCUGAAUCAAGAAGUUUUGUUUGUUUUGCAUGUUUAUCAAAUAUGGGCCUGAUUGAGGGACCCAAAUGCAUGAUGACCAUAAAAGUAACAGUGGCACAAAGCCCAUAAUCCCCAUUUUGUAGAGCUAGAAUUCUAAUAUGCAUGAUUUAAAAUGCUUAGUGUCAUAUAAUUACUAGAAAACUGAUAUAUGCAUUUAUAUAUAACAAAGCAAUAGUAACUAUUAAUAGCUUGAAUUUACUGCUUGAAAACUCAGUUCUUGUGUGGUUUGCCUCCCAUCAGUAAAGGGAGGGUGGGUAGAGAAUAAACAGGGAUAGCAGCAUGACACUCCAGCUGUUUAGAAGAGGAUUUAUAUUAGCCCCCAAAGCAUGUUUUUUAAAAUAACGGGACAAACUAAGAAGAAGCAUGUGGUGUUGAUGAAUGAUUUUUUAGUUAUCUCAACUGUAGCAAUCAAAAAGGUGCAGAGUUUCAGGAGUGAGUGGGUGAGGCCCAACUGUAGUAUAGAAAGUAAUAACUGGGUCUAUUUUUAAAAAGGCAAAAGUGGCCUGAGUGUAAGCCCAGUAAAACUAGUACUUUGAAGGUGAAUGAUAUCAAUGAGCACAGUGCACGUAUUUCAGGUGUUGAGUAGCUUUUUAAUACAGUAUUUUUAGGUAAUUUUAGCCACUUAAAGACAACUGUACUGAAUUGUAACGGUGUCAAUUAGCAAUAAUAAUGGCUCCCUGCAACAAAGGAUACUGUUCCAUUUUGCAGGAUUCACCUGAAAAUAUUGUUACAUCUUUGUUUAGUUGUUAUAUUGAUAUAUUUUUGAAUUUAUGUAACUUGAAAUAGGUUUUUAGAGCCAAAGAUACAAAAUUAUUUAGCCCUGAUGAUCUGGUCAGUUAGACUCCAUAAAGAAUUCUUGUCCCUUAAGAUGAAUUUAUGUGCAUCCUUAUUUCAUUAAAUAGAUUUACCAUUAACUUCCUCAUUUAGGGAGAAAAAAAGCAAAUGCUCUUCAAUUCACUGUAAUACUUAAGAAUGUUGGGGACUAAAGAUUCUUAUGGAGCUUUUGGAGUAACUUGACCGAAGCAUGUGUGAUUAUAGCAAACAGGAACUAAUACAUGACAAAGAAGUAAUAAGAAGCUGCUUCCCGCAGAGGUUUUCCUUAAGUUAGUAUAACCUCACUGUAAUUGUAGGGCUUAUCUUGGCACUGUUGGAAAAACUCUCAUCUUCCAAGUUAAAGGAUAAAAAUAACCUUCAAAUAGGCCAGAGUUGAACCACUUAGUUCAUACUUAGCAAGUUUGUUCCUAACACACAUUGGAAAGAUGAGCUUUACUAAGCCUCUUUACAGUUUUUCUCUAGCCACUUAUUGAUAGAACAUCUGUGAAACCAACUAGGGAAAUUAAUUGUUAAUUGUUUUUGGUUUAAGAAUACAUUAACCAUCAAUCUUCAACUCCUCUAAAAGGGAGUUAUAAAUACUCUUAUAUGCAACUCUUUUUAUCUUAAAAUACAUCAAGAAAUUCAAACUUUAAGAAUUAUUCUUUAAAAGCAAAAACUCAUAAACAGAAAGCCUUCCUUGUAAAGAUAUUUUUCUUUGAAAAUAAAGGUGUCAAUAUGCUGCGCCACUGUUGGAAUGUUAGGUUUUAUUUUUUCCAUCAUGGGGUGAAAUAUCCAAAAUAAAUAAAUUGGAAUAGUGUAUGAUAAUUUUCUGUAACUGUACUAUUCUUGAAUCUGCUUUUAAGUUGUAUGUAAAAUAAAACAAUGUGACAUUAAAUUAGGAAGACCCAAUACUCACUUUUAUUCUAUGUAUUGAUUUUCUUUAGUGCAGGAAAGAUUGUUUACUUACUGUAUGCACAUGCAGCACUGUAAUCUCUAUUCCAUUGCACAGUUAUACUUUAUGAGGUAAUAUUGUUAGAAUUUCUUGUUGUAUAUACCUGAAAUUUUGCAGACCGCAGCUUGCUGUUAUAUCUAUGCAUCUUUGGGAUUUUGAAGAAGAGAUUUUAUUCUUUUGAUGGUAUAAUGAGAAACUUUUUUAAACCAUACAUUGGAAACUCUGCAACUCUGUAUAAAAUUUUUGGGCUUUGUUUUUGGUUUUUAGCAAUAAAGCAGCAUGAGCUGAGAAUGCACUGAAA
Long non-coding RNA from Sarcophilus harrisii (Tasmanian devil), 9838 nucleotides. Lineage: Eukaryota; Metazoa; Chordata; Mammalia; Dasyuromorphia; Dasyuridae. The record is from Ensembl.